AAUUGAGUUUCCCUAUUUUGGAAUGGGUUCACUUGACCCCAGAAUAACCUAAAAUAUUACUAAAUUAUUUUCAUCAUUUUCUAAGGAAAAAAUGAUUUCCUUUACUCCUAGUGUCAGCAAAUAAUAAAAUAUUGUUGCUUUGCUGAUAGCACAGCAGACAAAACCCAUAAACCUAAACAGACUAUUUGCAAUGCUAAAAAUUGACUCAAACAGAAAGCAAAAUUAACUUUUUAAUUUUGUUUAAAGCAGAGAUAAUAAAUAAUCUCCAAAGCCAAACACUGUUAAAAAUCUUAUUUUAAACUAGGGAACAUUUGACAGCAUUGAAGGUUUCACGCAGCUAAACAAAAGCUUUCUGAGGGAAGUUUCAGAAGGCAUUUCUUUAUGCUUUGUCCAUAUUCUAAGUGCCCUCUACUGCCAAAAGAGCCGUACUACAGAGAAAACCAGCUCGGCUGAGAGAGCAAGUAGGAACCCACCCAGGGACUGCUGGAAAGGAAGAAUUUAAUACUUCCCGGUACUGCUUUUCAGCCUAUAUGGAGCUGGACUUGAAAGCUAUCAGUAAUAAGAUGUUGCAUUUUUUAUAAGAAGAAAAAGGAAAAUUAAUCCAGUGGUGAAUGGAAGUACGUAAUCAUUUAUUUCUCCUGGCAAUGUGACUUGUUCCUUUCUGCAGCUUGCUGUUCUCCAUUGGUUUCUCUACCUAUUUGUGAUGUCUAUUUCGGCAUUUGAGAGAAAUAUUUCCCGAGACCAGCUGUGCCCGUGCCUAACAUGCAGCCAAGACUCUACCCAGUAUAUUGGAGCAGACUUGCACCAGUACUGACCAGAUUUAUUCAGGAGCUGGAAGAUUAUACCUCAGCUGAGCUUCCACUGUGGAUCCACUGCACUUCCCUGAGUGACUGCACAAAGUUCCAGCUAUAAAAAAAUUGCCUGUACUCUCCAGGGCUGGCAAUAAAACACAAAAUAACUGAGAAUGCAAACAGCUAGCUUAAGUAGAUGGGAGAGGACUAAACAUCUACUUAGACCUGUAAGUUACAUGAUGGCUCCACACUUCAAAGCAGUAACUUAACCCACAACUGACAAGUCUGUCUGCUUGAUUCUCUGCUUGCCCAAGCACUGAAAUGCCAGUUCAGCUGAUGACCUGAACCACUCAUUCCUAUUCCGUGUUGACCAAAAUCUAAAUUAUAUUUCCAGAAAUGUCAUAUUCUUUGAGUCAUUUUCCCCUUUCCAACAGUUCUUGCAAAUCUCUCAGACACCUGGAACUCUCGACCAAGGACCAAAUCCUUCAUCUCCCACAAUGGCAAUAAACUAUCAGAAUUUAGGAAUAGAAAUAGGUUGCAGCUGCCACAUAUAAUGCCACAGAUAACGCAGAAUGGAAAAAUUCAGCUUUUACUGCUUCCCUAAGAAAAGAAAAAUUAACCCUUGACUUGCAGUUCUAUAGUUACCUCUUAUUUGAAGCAUUUUUUCUUCCAGUUAUUUCCAGGAAUAAAAACUUAGAACUAGAGCCUGCUCAUGCUUGCUGCCAGUUAAACUUUUAGGGGUAGUUUUAGAACUUCUGAAAAAGAGAAGUUCAUCUUCCUUGAACCUGUGCAUUGCCUAACAAUGCCCAUAAUCAUUUGCUCCUCGUUUCAUCAAUUUCUACAUUUAUUAUAGUUUCAUCACGUGUUAGAGAUAGUUAACAUUUUUUUGCAUGGUCGCUAGACCCUCUCUAAUGUCAGAAUGAAUCUGGGUACAUAAAGAUUUCACAGAUUAGGAUCACUGCAUGGCUAGUACGGUCCUAUUUAUUGCUAAGAUAUUGUAGCAGCUGAGAUCAGAUGAGGUAUUUGGGCCAGUAGGUCAAGUUUCACUGGGAAAGAGGAUGGUGCUGUCUGUGAGGGAUCCUAUGCCCAAGCAAACCAGGCAGUAUAUCACACUGCAAAGUCUCC
Molecule: long non-coding RNA, 1916 nt
Organism: Corvus moneduloides (New Caledonian crow)
Lineage: Eukaryota; Metazoa; Chordata; Aves; Passeriformes; Corvidae
Source: Ensembl